This 61-nucleotide transfer RNA is filed under the name Glomeridesmus spelaeus. RNAcentral's name for it is "tRNA-Leu". Lineage: Eukaryota; Metazoa; Arthropoda; Diplopoda; Glomeridesmida; Glomeridesmidae. The record is from RNAcentral.
AUUAAUAUGACAGAUUAGUGUGAUGAAUUUAAGAUUCAUUUAUGAGUUAUUUCUAUUAAUA